GGACCAAUAGCUCAGCGGAUAGAGCAGUGGUUUCCGGAGCCACGUGUCGGGGGUUCAAUUCCCUCUUGGUUCG
This 73-nucleotide transfer RNA is filed under the name Lachnospiraceae bacterium. RNAcentral describes it as "tRNA-Arg". It matches the Rfam family "tRNA". Rfam says of the family: Transfer RNA (tRNA) molecules are approximately 80 nucleotides in length. The record is from RNAcentral. Lineage: Bacteria; Bacillati; Bacillota; Clostridia; Lachnospirales; Lachnospiraceae.